AGUAACGUGACACUAACAACCAUAAAGGCGCCGGGCUCAUAACCCGGAGGUCGCUGGAUCGAAACCAGUUGUAGCUA
RNAcentral lists this transfer RNA (77 nucleotides) under Diaporthe ampelina. It matches the Rfam family "tRNA". From Rfam's summary of the family: Transfer RNA (tRNA) molecules are approximately 80 nucleotides in length. Their secondary structure includes four short double-helical elements and three loops (D, anti-codon, and T loops). Lineage: Eukaryota; Fungi; Ascomycota; Sordariomycetes; Diaporthales; Diaporthaceae. The record is from Rfam by way of RNAcentral.